RNAcentral lists this ribosomal RNA (434 nucleotides) under uncultured Clostridium sp. Its description in RNAcentral is "partial 16S ribosomal RNA". It matches the Rfam family "Bacterial small subunit ribosomal RNA", at positions 341 to 792 of the family's 1533-position model. The record is from RNAcentral. Lineage: Bacteria; Bacillati; Bacillota; Clostridia; Eubacteriales; Clostridiaceae.
ACGGAAGGCAGCAGUGGGGAAUAUUGCACAAUGGGGGAAACCCUGAUGCAGCGACGCCGCGUGAGUGAAGAAGUAUUUCGGUAUGUAAAGCUCUAUCAGCAGGGAAGAAAAUGACGGUACCUGACUAAGAAGCCCCGGCUAACUACGUGCCAGCAGCCGCGGUAAUACGUAGGGGGCAAGCGUUAUCCGGAUUUACUGGGUGUAAAGGGAGCGUAGACGGUUCUGCAAGUCUGAUGUGAAAGGCAGGGGCUCAACUCCUGGACUGCAUUGGAAACUGUAGAACUAGAGUGCCGGAGAGGUAAGCGGAAUUCCUAGUGUAGCGGUGAAACGCGUAGAUAUUAGGAGGAACACCAGUGGCGAAGGCGGCUUACUGGACGGUAACUGACGUUGAGGCUCGAAAGCGUGGGGAGCAAACAGGAUUAGAUACCCUGGUA